GGAACUGCGGCGAGCUCUGUGGAGACCCGGCUCCGAAAGAGAGGCCAGACAGGAAAAGUAACCAACUCUAAAAGACACCAGCCUAUCAGACCAGACAUCUGCCAUAAACACAGCCUCAGACCACCGACUGUAGAGCUUUUUGAGUCACUCCCUCCUCAACCAAAAUAAAAUGUCAACGGCAGCUAUAAACAAGAGCUCAGUGAGUUUCUCCCCCUUGGACUGUGCUGGACCGAAGCUUCCUAUGCAAAGGCAUCGACUCUUGAUGUGCUUCCUUCCUGCCCUAAUUAUACUUACGUCGUCUUAUAAAUGUGGAAAUCUGGCUAAGAAGCCCAAGCAUUAAACAACACAAGAACCAGGUAAUAAAAACAUUGAAAG
Molecule: long non-coding RNA, 375 nt
Filed under: Rattus norvegicus (Norway rat)
Lineage: Eukaryota; Metazoa; Chordata; Mammalia; Rodentia; Muridae
Description: long non-coding RNA NONRATT018508
Source: RNAcentral